GACGAACGCUGGCGGCGUGCUUAACACAUGCAAGUCGAACGGAAAGGCCUGCUUUCCCUUGUGGAUUGCGGGUACUCGAGUGGCGAACGGGUGAGUAACACGUGAGUGAUCUGCCCCCAACUUGGGUAUAAGCCUGGGAAACUGGGUCUAAUUCCCGAUAGGACUGCAGGGUGGUGCCUGUGGUGGAAAACGAUUUUCUAGUGGUUGGGGAUGAGCUCGCGGCCUAUCAGCUUGUUGGUGGGGUAAUGGCCUACCAAGGCGGCGACGGGUAGCCGGCCUGAGAGGGUGGACGGCCACAUUGGGACUGAGAUACGGCCCAGACGACUACGGGAGGCAGCAGUGGGGAAUAUUGCACAAUGGGCGGAAGCCUGAUGCAGCGACGCCGCGUGGGGGAUGACGGCCUUCGGGUUGUAAACUCCUUUCGACCGCGAGGAAGCCACCUGGUUGGAAGGGUGGUGACGGUAGUGGUAGAAGAAGCACCGGCUAACUACGUG
This 494-nucleotide ribosomal RNA is filed under the name uncultured bacterium. Its description in RNAcentral is "partial 16S ribosomal RNA". It matches the Rfam family "Bacterial small subunit ribosomal RNA", at positions 28 to 507 of the family's 1533-position model. The record is from RNAcentral.